UCAGGAGAGCCUGUUCAGUGAAUGAAUGGAGAGGUGGGGGAGAAAUGAGGCACAUGCGGCGACCCCCCCCCCGAAGAAACCUGUAUGGUUGGAAGAGAGAGGGGGGCUGAGCUUCAGAGAAUCUGCAGAUACGAGAGGGAGGAAGUGCAAGCACGGAGUGAGCGGGGCGGCUUCGCUACGGCAGCGUCAACAGACAAGGCAAACGGUUCCUGUAGCCAAGCCAGCCCAAAGCUGCUUGUCAGUUCAAUGGGCUGAGGAGAAGGAAACAGAAACGCAAAAAGAGCCGAGGCCACGAAAAGCAGCCCAAACAAGUGUUGUUGCACGUUUUUGACUCACACAGGACUCUUUGUCAAGCUACUUUGGGGGGGGAGUUACUUUUAGGGCUGUAACAUUUAUUUAUUUAUUUAUAAUUUAUUAGAAUGUUCACAUUGCUACAACCAUGUCUCUUAUUCCCUCCCCUUUCACCGUACCACCCUGAUCACCAGGUUCCCUUGGUCUGUCCCCAUAUCCUUUGUACUUAAGAGUAUUUUUAUUUCUGACAUUCAGUGGUUUGGGGUAUUGUACAAUAUAAAACUUUGCAUGCUUAAA
Long non-coding RNA from Rhineura floridana, 588 nucleotides. RefSeq lists it as uncharacterized. NCBI's taxonomy places the organism in Eukaryota, Metazoa, Chordata, Lepidosauria, Squamata, Rhineuridae. The record is from RefSeq and is a predicted model, not a curated record. The transcript is spliced from 2 exons.